UACGUAGGGGGCAAGCGUUGUCCGGAAUCAUUGGGCGUAAAGCGCGCGUAGGCGGCCCGGUAAGUCCGCUCUGAAAGUCCAGGGCUCAACCCUGGAAAGCGGGUGGAUACUGCCGGGCUAGAAUCCGGAAGAGGCGAGUGGAAUUCCUGGUGUAGCGGUGGAAUGCGCAGAUAUCAGGAGGAACACCAAUAGCGAAGGCAGCUCGCUGGGACGGUAUUGACGCUGAGGUGCGAAAGCGUGGGGAGCAAGCAGG
This 253-nucleotide ribosomal RNA is filed under the name uncultured bacterium. Its description in RNAcentral is "partial 16S ribosomal RNA". It matches the Rfam family "Bacterial small subunit ribosomal RNA", at positions 524 to 776 of the family's 1533-position model. The record is from RNAcentral.